GAUGAACGCUGGCGGCGUGCCUAAUACAUGCAAGUCGAGCGAACGGACGAGAAGCUUGCUUCUCUGAUGUUAGCGGCGGACGGGUGAGUAACACGUGGAUAACCUACCUAUAAGACUGGGAUAACUUCGGGAAACCGGAGCUAAUACCGGAUAAUAUUUUGAACCGCAUGGUUCAAAAGUGAAAGACGGUCUUGCUGUCACUUAUAGAUGGAUCCGCGCUGCAUUAGCUAGUUGGUAAGGUAGCGGCUUACCAAGGCAACGAUGCAUAGCCGACCUGAGAGGGUGAUCGGCCACACUGGAACUGAGACACGGUCCAGACUCCUACGGGAGGCAGCAGUAGGGAAUCUUCCGCAAUGGGCGAAAGCCUGACGGAGCAACGCCGCGUGAGUGAUGAAGGUCUUCGGAUCGUAAAACUCUGUUAUUAGGGAAGAACAUAUGUGUAAGUAACUGUGCACAUCUUGACGGUACCUAAUCAGAAAGCCACGGCUAACUACGCG
RNAcentral lists this ribosomal RNA (497 nucleotides) under uncultured bacterium. RNAcentral describes it as "partial 16S ribosomal RNA". It matches the Rfam family "Bacterial small subunit ribosomal RNA", at positions 28 to 507 of the family's 1533-position model. The record is from RNAcentral.